This 397-nucleotide ribosomal RNA is filed under the name uncultured Eubacteriales bacterium. Its description in RNAcentral is "bacterial SSU rRNA". It matches the Rfam family "Bacterial small subunit ribosomal RNA", at positions 989 to 1382 of the family's 1533-position model. Lineage: Bacteria; Bacillati; Bacillota; Clostridia; Eubacteriales. The record is from RNAcentral.
CCGCUGACCGGUGCAGAGAUGCAUCUUUAUCCUUCGGGGUACAGCGGACACAGGUGGUGCAUGGUUGUCGUCAGCUCGUGUCGUGAGAUGUUGGGUUAAAGUCCCGCAACGAGCGCAACCCUUGUCUUUAGUUGCCAUCAUUAAGUUGGGCACUCUAAAGAGACUGCCGAUGACAAAUCGGAGGAAGGUGGGGAUGACGUCAAAUCAUCAUGCCCUUUAUGUCCUGGGCUACACACGUGCUACAAUGGUCGGUACAACGAGAAGCAAGCCAGCGAUGGCAAGCAAAUCUCUAAAAGCCGAUCCCAGUUCGGAUUGCAGGCUGCAACUCGCCUGCAUGAAGUCGGAGUUGCUAGUAAUCGCGGAUCAGAAUGCCGCGGUGAAUGCGUUCCCGGGUCUU